AAUCAACGCUGGCGGCGUGCCUAACACAUGCAAGUCGAACGCGGUUACCCCGCAAGGGGUAACUGAGUGGCGAACGGGUGAGUAACACGUGGGUGACCUACCUUCGAGUGGGGGAGUAACGUUCCGAAAGGAACGCUAAUACCGCAUAACAUCCUGCCUUUGAACAGGUGGAGAUCAAAAGCUGGGGAGUCGCAAGACCUGGCGCUUGAUGAGGGGCCCGCGUCCGAUUAGCUAGUUGGUGAGGUAACGGCCCACCAAGGCGACGAUCGGUAACCGGCC
Molecule: ribosomal RNA, 279 nt
Filed under: uncultured bacterium
Lineage: Bacteria
Description: partial 16S ribosomal RNA
Rfam family: Bacterial small subunit ribosomal RNA
Source: RNAcentral